GGGGUUUUUGUUUGGGUUCGAGGAUAUCGUAGAAAUCACAUCUUGACGAGAUUUCGUGAUUCUUUGAUCUACAUUUUGCUCCUCUCAACUCAUUCUUCUGCUGUUUCCCAUACAUUCUUCAAGUUCAUGCAUCUUUCAGGUUCUUAGAUAUUUCGUUGGGAAGGUUCCAUGUUUUUUGGCAGACUUGUUGCCUUUGAUGACGGUUCCUUUGGGCCGCGUCUGUGGGCGUGAGCUGAUUUGCUGAUUCCGGCGGCUUGUUCAGUGUUUUUGGUGAAUCCCUCCCUGCAGGUGAUUUGUUGGUUAUGAUUCCAACCGUGCGGAAGGUGAAAAUUCUGGGAAGAUGUAUGCCGUGGAGAAGAUCGGCAGCUACAUCUCCCGAGGAGUGUAUACCGUCUCGGGCCCCUUUCAUCCGUUCGGAGGAGCCGUGGACAUCAUCGUGGUCCAGCAGCAAGAUGGGAGCUUCAGGUCGUCGCCAUGGUAUGUCCGGUUUGGGAAAUUUCAAGGUGUGUUGAAGACAAAGGAAAAAGUUGUCAAGAUCUCUGUUAAUGGUGUUGAAGCUGGAUUCAGUAUGUACUUGGACAAUAAAGGAGAGGCCUUCUUCCUCAGGGAUGUGGAAGUUGGGGGACAAGAUUUCUUCUUGUCACCGCCAACUUCUGGGGAUGAGACAGAGGGAAGGCUAAAGAAUGGGCAAUUCAAGAGAACACAGAGCUCUAGUGUUGCGGAUGGACAGAAGGAGGUAGUCACCCGGCUGGAUGAUGGGAAUGGACAGCUUGUUACUCGAACGAAUUCGAGGCGAUCUACGAUUUUUGGCCUUGUGUUCGGCCAAAAGUCGAUCAGAGACAUUGAAGAGGCUGGAAAUGUGGAGAGAAUUAGCUCACUGGAGCGUGCAGAGAUCGCAGCUGACCUCUUGGAAGUGAAGUGGUCAACCAAUCUGAUGUCUGGUGACCGGAAAACUGAUGAUACUCGGGUGAAAUCUUCUGAGAAAACCGAGAUGAAUGUUAGUGUUUUUGAUAAGGAACAAGAUCCUCGGACAUCUUUAACAAAUGAUGAUUUACAUUGUGAAGGAAAGCUUAAUUCUCACGGUGAGGGGAAUCCGGAUGAUACUUUUAGCGAGAGAAUUUUUAGCAGAAAUUUUUUAGAAGAAGCGAUAGAUGGUAGCCCUUCAUGUCUAAGAGUCAGUGAGGAGACUAUAGAGAUACAUACAUUUGAUACUGGUGAUAAUGCAGAUCAAAAGAACUCUGAAUUUGUCUUUAGGAACCCUAUUGUGGAGCCUAACUUAAAUUUUGAUGGAACUGGUGAUUCUUUUGUUUCACAUGUUGAGGGACAACAUAGCAACAACAUGCUAACAGAAAAAAGUUUUGAAGAGAUAACCUCCCAUGAAGAGGUUGUGCAGAUUUAUGCUUUGGAGAUUAGUGAUACGGCUGAUCGGAACAAGUUAAUCUCAGACUUAGUAACAGUACAAUCAAGUGAGGCUGAUGCUCCAAAUCUUAAUUCAGCCACAUAUUAUGAUGAUACCGCACAGCCUCAUAAUGAAAGCCAUGUGGGUUCAGUAGCAGGUUUUUCUUCAUUUGAAAGUGGAGAACGGGAACUUACUUCCUUCAGCUACUGUGGGACUAUCGAAAGUUCAACCGUUAGCUUCGAUAUUUCAGAUGACGAACCAUCUGUACAUUUGGGCCUUCUUUCUAGUGGGGCUGAGCAUUGUGAGAAUGAAUUUUUGUAUGACACAGAUAACAUGGUUCAAGAGGCAAGUUAUUUAUCAGAGACAGGUGCAUUACUACGUAAGGAACACUUGGAUGGUUGCAAUAACCAGAAAUUGGAAACAUCCAUAAUUAGCGAGUAUUAUUUGUCUGAAAAAUCUCAAUGUGACUAUCCCAGAAAUGGGGCCUUCAAGGAUUCAGAUAAUGACGGCUUUAACACAGAAUCCGAACCCAAUUCAGGCUCUGAUCAAAUCUCAGGUGGUAUUCCCUUCUUAUAUAAUCAACAAUUGCAAAGCUGUGAACAUGAGGUAAUCUUUAUGGAUGCCAUGGCAGAGGAAUCUUUUCAUGACAAAGAAACCAACUUUCAGCAAAUUGAUUUUGUUGGGAUUCACUCUCAGAUGGCGGAAAGAGAUGCUGCACAAGACACCUGUUUUCCUUCUCUCAAAUUCAAUAAUCCACUUAUUUCUGGUGCUUCUGCAGAAUCACAUAGCAUUCCUGAAAUUCCCAAUUCCUGCAACUCGAGCAAUGUAACUCAUAAGAUAGAAAAUUUUGAUUUAGAUGAUAAUCCGAAGAGGUCUUAUUUUUUCGAGGAGAUUAAUGCUGCUGGAGAUUUUAGCCUCAUCUCUGGGCCUUCAGAAGUAGCUGAACAUAGUGUUCCCUGUUCUGAGAGCUCGGAGGAUGUUCAAUUUCCAUUCAGUGACAUUCACAAUUUUAGUGCUAAAGAAAUUGACACCGAGCUAUCAAAUAAUAAUAAAGUUGUUCAUGCAGAACAUCUACCGACACUCACCGCAGAAUUUCAUCAAGAAGAGCAAAAUUUGCAUCUCAAGAGCCAUAAACAGUCUCUGGAGGGAAUGUCUGAUGUCUUAAUGUCUCGUUCUAGUCCGACAAGUAUUCAUGGCUGUAAGACAAGUUCUGGAGAAAUCGAACUAUCAUCUAUAUCAUUGCCCAUUAUCUGUCGUCAUAUUAGGGAUCUUGAAGGAUCUGAUAUUAAUCAUUCACUGAGUUGCUCAUUGAAAUCAAAAGCUGACAUAUGUAAGCUGGAUGUGCUUACGAAAGAAGAUUCGAGCUCUUCUGAUUUGGUGGCAGAGCCUCAAACAGAACUAACUCAAGGAUAUUCAUCUGAUGCAGCUGAUACUGCUAUCUCCAUUAAAAAUGAGGAGGAACAGAAAGGCACUUUGACAAAUGCGACAGUUGAGUUAUCCCUCUGCAAACACUUGUUAUUUGAAGGGAUGGGGGCAGAUGCUGCUCGUCAGGUAUUUAAUUGUGAAAAGGUGAAUUUGGAGAAAUUCUCUACCAUUGGUCCUUCUCUUGUGAAGAAUGACAAGCUUGUUGUCAGAGUUGGUGAUCAAUACUUUCCAUUUAAUGCAGCUGCACCUAUUAUUUUGGGAAUGAUUUGUUUUGGUCAGGAAAAAAUAUUUGAGCCUCAAGGUAUGAUACCUGUGGAUGGAGCUGAGAGAAAGAAUCAAGCUUCUAGAAGCAUCACAUCAUCUCGUGGGAGUUGGAACCUAUGGCCUUUCUUAAAAAGGUCUAAGACAAUAAGCACUGCCCACAUGGCCUCUGAAAACACCAAGGAGAUGGUUGUGGAUCUGGCUUCCAAAAGUACUGGAAACAUAAAUCAUGAAAGUGACAUGCCGAAAGCCAAUAACUCUAAGAAGGUGCAAUUACUUACUCCAACAUCUAAAGAACUUGCUUCUUUGAGUCUUAAAGAAGGCAAGAAUGUGGUUUCAUUUACUUUCUGGACGCCAAUGCUUGGAAUGCAGCAGGUUGAUGCAAGGAUAUAUCUAUGGAAAUGGAAUACUCGGAUAGUUAUCUCAGAUGUAGAUGGAACUAUUACCAAAUCAGAUGUUCUUGGACAGUUUAUGCCUUUGGUCGGUAUAGAUUGGUCCCAGACUGGUGUGGCUCAUUUAUUUUCUGCAAUCAAGGACAAUGGAUAUCAAUUGCUAUUUCUCAGUGCCCGUGCAAUUUCACAGGCUCAUAUUACACGGCAGUUUCUUUUCAACCUUAAGCAGGAUGGAAAAGCUCUGCCAGAUGCUCCAGUUGUAAUAUCUCCUGAUGGUCUUUUUCCUUCACUUUAUAGAGAAGUUAUCAGAAGAGCGCCUCAUGAAUUCAAGAUCUCAUGUCUAGAGGCCAUCAAGGCGCUUUUUCCAUCUGAUUGGAACCCAUUUUAUGCUGGCUUUGGAAACAGGGAUACCGAUGAGAUUAGUUACCUUAAGGUUGGAAUACCUAUUAGCAAAGUCUUCAUUAUCAAUCCUAAGGGUCAGGUUACAGUAAAUCGUCGAGUUGACACGAGAUCAUAUACUUCACUCCAUGAGCUAGUAAAUGGAAUCUUUCCACCUAUGUCUUCAUUUGAACAGGAGGACUACAAUUCAUGGAACUACUGGAAAUUGCCUCUUCCAGAAGUACACAUUUGAACCUAAAAUUGUUUCUUUAUUGGCAUUAGAAAUUUAAUUAGCACGAAUUCUCACAUACCUGAUUGAGAAAAUCCAGGCCAAUUACCGGUUGGUCAUGUGAAAUGCAUAGUGUCUCCGGUGGUAGGACAAUGUACAUAAACAUGAACUAGUGGAGGACCAGGAACUUUCCUACACUUUGAAUUUGUAUACUUUUACUUUGAGGUGUCUUCACCAAUGUAAUAAUUUCUUUGAAUCUAUUACUUUAUGAAAAAUUAAUUCAUGUGACAGAUCAUGUGAUAAAAUACCCCCAAUUUGUUUUAGGUUCUUCAUGACUCCAAGGUUUAGGGACCCGUCGUAUCGCCACAACAUUCAUGUGGUUCAUUAUAUCAUGUACUUCAAUUUUCUGGACUACAUCUUACACUAAAUCCUUAUUUGCCGAUGGAGAUGGUGGAAUAUUGCUGUGAUAAGUCCUAUGAAACUGAGCAGCAGAGCUUGUUAUCCU
This is an RNA transcript of Musa acuminata AAA Group (dessert banana), 4589 nucleotides long. It is a transcript of the gene named phosphatidate phosphatase PAH2-like, with no coding region annotated. The record is from RefSeq and is a predicted model, not a curated record. Lineage: Eukaryota; Viridiplantae; Streptophyta; Magnoliopsida; Zingiberales; Musaceae. The transcript has 11 exons.